GUGGUUCAGCUCUUGGGCUGGACCUGCCUUUUCCGAGCACUUUGCUGCCUGCCUGAUACCUGAGUAAAAUCAGGGCUCUCUCAGGAAGAAAGUUGGGGGAAAUGGCUGUUGGUUAAAUAACCAGUUCUUUUAUCUUUAUAAUAACCAGUUUUUUUAGAUGAAUUAACCAAGUUCCAGAAUAACUGGGUGACUUAUCUGAAGUCAUAGAGUUAGCAAAAGUAUAUGGUUGAGAAUUUCCAAUUCCAGUUCAGGUUUUCUGAUUCCAGUUCCUAGUACUUUUCAAAGGACUAACUUUACUAAUUUGUUGAUGUACAUUCUUAUUUGUUUGUUUCAGGUGCUUGAAGUUUCUGGGAAGUCGGCAUCCAACCCUGGUGCUUCCUUUGGUGCCAGAGCUUCUGAGCACCCACCCAUUUUUUGACACAGCUGAACCAGACAUGGAUGAUCCAGCUUAUAUUGCAGUUUUGGUACUUAUUUUCAAUGCUGCUAAAACCUGUCCGACAAUGCCAGCAUUGUUCUCAGAUCACACCUUCAGGCACUAUGCCUACCUCCGAGACAGUCUUUCUCAUCUUGUUC
RNAcentral lists this small RNA (573 nucleotides) under Pongo abelii (Sumatran orangutan). RNAcentral's name for it is "retained intron". The record is from RNAcentral. Lineage: Eukaryota; Metazoa; Chordata; Mammalia; Primates; Hominidae.